AGUGAACGCUGGCGGUAGGCCUAACACAUGCAAGUCGAACGGCAGCACAGUAAGAUCUUGCUCUUACGGGUGGCGAGUGGCGGACGGGUGAGGAAUACAUCGGAAUCUACUUUUUCGUGGGUGAUAACGUAGGGAAACUUACGCUAAUACCGCAUACGACCUACGGGUGAAAGCAGGGGAUCUUCGGACCUUGCGCGAUUGAAUGAGCCGAUGUCGGAUUAGCUAGUUGGCGGGGUAAAGGCCCACCAAGGCGACGAUCCGUAGCUGGUCUGAGAGGAUGAUCAGCCACACUGGAACUGAGACACGGUCCAGACUCCUACGGGAGGCAGCAGUGGGGAAUAUUGGACAAUGGGCGCAAGCCUGAUCCAGCAAUACCGCGUGGGUGAAGAAGGCCUUCGGGUUGUAAAGCCCUUUUGUUGGGAAAGAAAAGCAGCAGGUUAAUACCCCGCUGUUCUGACGGUACCCAAAGAAUAAGCACCGGCUAACUUCGUG
This 492-nucleotide ribosomal RNA is filed under the name uncultured bacterium. RNAcentral describes it as "partial 16S ribosomal RNA". It matches the Rfam family "Bacterial small subunit ribosomal RNA", at positions 29 to 507 of the family's 1533-position model. The record is from RNAcentral.